This is an RNA transcript of Odobenus rosmarus divergens (Pacific walrus), 1301 nucleotides long. It is a transcript of the gene named SWI/SNF-related matrix-associated actin-dependent regulator of chromatin subfamily E member 1-like, with no coding region annotated. NCBI's taxonomy places the organism in Eukaryota, Metazoa, Chordata, Mammalia, Carnivora, Odobenidae. The transcript has a single exon. The record is from RefSeq and is a predicted model, not a curated record.
AUGUCAAAAAGACCAUCUUAUGCCCCACCUCCCACCCCAGCUCCUGCAACACAAAUGCCCAGCACACCAGGGUUUGUGGGAUACAAUCCAUACAGUCAUCUCGCCUACAACACCUACAGGCUGGGAGGGAACCCAGGUACCAACAGCCGGGUCAACAGCAUCCUCUGGUAUUACGAUUCCAAAACCCCCAAAGCCACCAGAUAAGCCACUGAUGCCCUACAUGAGGUACAGCAGAAAGGUCUGGGACCAAGUAAAAGCUUCCAACCCUGACCUAAAGUUGUGGGAGAUUGGCAAGAUUAUUGGUGGCAUGUGGCGAGAUCUCAUUGAUGAAGAAAAACAGGAAUAUUUAAACGAAUACGAAGCAGAAAAGAUAGAGUACAAUGAAUCUAUGAAGGCCUAUCAUAAUUCCCCGCAUACCUUGCUUACAUAAAUGCAAAAAGUCGUGCAGAAGCUGCUUUAGAGGAAGAAAGUCAACAGAGACAGUCUCGCAUGGAGAAAGGAGAACCGUACAUGAGCAUUCAGCCUGCUGAAGAUCCAGACGAUUAUGAUGAUGGCUUCUCAAUGAAGCAUACAGCCACUGCCCAUUUCCAGAGAAACCACGGCCUCAUCAGUGAAAUCCUUAGUGAGAGUGUGGUGCCAGACGUCCGUUCAGUUGUCACAACAGCUAGAAUGCAGGUCCUCAAACGACAGGUCCAGUCCUUAAUGGUUCAGCGAAAACUAGAAGCUGAACUUCUUCAAAUAGAGGAGCGACACCAGGAAAAGAAGAGGAAAUUCCUGGAAAGCACAGAUUCAUUUAACAACGAACUUAAAAGGUUGUGCGGUUUGAAAGUAGAAGUGGAUAUGGAAAAAAUUGCUGCUGAAAUUGCACAGGCAGAGGAACAGGCUCGAAAAAGGCAGGAGGAAAGAGAGAAAGAAGCCGCGGAGCAAGCUGAAUGCAGUCAGAGCGGCAUGGUUCCUGAGGAAGAGCAAGCUGCUAGUAAGAGCGAGGGGAAGAAGGACGAGAGCAUCCCAAUGGAGACAGAGGAGACACACCUUGAAGAAGCGACGGAAAGCCAACAGAAUGGUGAAGAAGGCACGUCUACUCCUGAGGACAGGGAGAGCGGGCAGGAGGUGGUGGACAGUAUGGCUGAGGAGGGGACCAGUGACAGUAACACCGGCUCCGAGAGCAACAGUGCCACAGUGGAGGAGCCACCCACAGACCCCACACCAGAAGACGAGAAGAAAGAAUAAAUGUUGCCUUGUUUUAUGUGUUCUAAAUACUUUUUUAAAUGAAAAAAAAAAAUGUUUUUUGAGUUUAAAAA